Molecule: ribosomal RNA, 253 nt
Filed under: uncultured Xanthobacter sp.
Lineage: Bacteria; Pseudomonadati; Pseudomonadota; Alphaproteobacteria; Hyphomicrobiales; Xanthobacteraceae
Description: partial 16S ribosomal RNA
Rfam family: Bacterial small subunit ribosomal RNA
Source: RNAcentral
UACGAAGGGGGCAAGCGUUGCUCGGAAUCACUGGGCGUAAAGCGCACGUAGGCGGGUCGUUAAGUCAGAGGUGAAAGCCUGGAGCUCAACUCCAGAACUGCCUUUGAUACUGAAGGUCUUGAGUUCGGGAGAGGUGAGUGGAACUGCGAGUGUAGAGGUGAAAUUCGUAGAUAUUCGCAAGAACACCAGUGGCGAAGGCGGCCAACUGGCUCGAUACUGACGCUGAGGUGCGAAAGCGUGGGGAGCAAACAGG